ACGUUAUCUAGGAAAAUGCUUUGCGUGUGUAGAUUCUACUCAGACAGGUUUGAAAUACUCUAAGACAUUUUGGAGCUCUUGGGGCCUAUAAUGAAGAAACGUAUAUCCUGCGAUGAAAACUUGAAACAAGCUACCUGUGAAAAUGCUUUGCAAUGUGUAGAUUCAUCUGACAGUUAAACCUUUGUUUUGAUUCAACAGGGGUUUGGGAACAUACUUUUUAUAUAACUUAUGAAUGGACAUUUCAGAGCCCAUUGAAGCCUAUACUGAAAAUCCAAAUAUCCUGCGAUAAAAACUAGGAGUAAGCUAUCUGUGAAAAUGCUUUGCGAGGUUUGGAUUAAUCUCACAGAUUUAAGCUGUUGCUUUGAUUUAGCAGGUUGGAAACCCUCUUUUUCUACAAUCUACUAGGGUACUAUUCGGACCAAAUUGAGGCCUAUACUGAAAAACUGAUUAUCCCGUGAUAAAAACUAGAAAAAAGCUGUCAGUAAAAAUGCUGUGCAAUAUGUGGAUUCAUGUCACAAAUUUAAACCUCUGCAUUUAUUCAGCAAGUUUGGAAUACCUUUUUGUAGAAUAUACAAAGGGAUGUUUCACACCUAUAAAAGCCUAUAGUAAAAAAGUUGGAUACACUCUUGUUGUAGAAUCUACAAAGAGACAUUUUGAAGUUCAUUGAGGUCUAUAGUGAAAAACCAAAUAUCCAGUGAUAGAAACUAUAAAGAAGCUAUCUCUGAAAAUACUUUAUGAUGUGUGAUUUCAUUUCACAAGUUGAACUUUUCUUUUGAUUCAACAGCAGGUUGGAAACACUCUUUUGUAAAAUCUACAAAGAAACAUUUUGGAGUCCAUUGAGGCCUAUAGUGAAAAACUGAAUAUUUCGCCUUGAAAACCAGAAACAAGCUAUCUGUGAAAAUGCUUUGUGAUGGAAGAUUUAUCUCACAGAGUUAAACGUUUGUAUUGAUUCAGCUGGCUGGCAACACUCUUUUUGUAAAAUCUACAAUGGGACAUUUCAGAGACCAUUGAAGUCUACAGAAAAAGACUGAAUAUCCCAUGAUUAAAACUAGAAACAAGCUAUCCAUCAAAAUGCUUUGUGAUGUUUGGAUUCACUUUACAGAGUGAAACAUUUAUUUGGAUUAAGUAGGUUGGAAACACUCUUUUUAUAGAAUCUACGAAUGGAUAUUUUAGAGCCCAGUGAAGCCUAUAAUGAGAAACCAAGCAUUCCAUGAUAAAAACUAGAAACAAGCUAUCUGUGAACAUGCUUUGAGAUCUGUGGAUUCAUCUCACAGGGCUAAACCAUUAUUUUGGUUCAGCAGGUAGGAUACACUGUUCUUCUAGAACCUAAGAAGGGACACUUCAGAGCUGAUUUAGGCCUACAGUAAAAAACCGCAUAUCCCAUGAUAAAAACUAGAAACAUGCUAUCUAUGUAAAUACUUUGUGAUGUGUAUAUUCAUGUCACAUAAUUAAACUUUUGUUUUUAUUAAAAA
Molecule: long non-coding RNA, 1472 nt
Organism: Homo sapiens (human)
Lineage: Eukaryota; Metazoa; Chordata; Mammalia; Primates; Hominidae
Product: long intergenic non-protein coding RNA 2002
Source: Ensembl